This 253-nucleotide ribosomal RNA is filed under the name uncultured bacterium. RNAcentral's name for it is "partial 16S ribosomal RNA". It matches the Rfam family "Bacterial small subunit ribosomal RNA", at positions 524 to 776 of the family's 1533-position model. The record is from RNAcentral.
UACAGAGGUCCCAAGCGUUGUUCGGAUUCAUUGGGCGUAAAGGGUGUGUAGGUGGCGCCGUAAGUCGGGUGUGAAAUUUCGGAGCUUAACUCCGAAACUGCAUUCGAUACUGCGGUGCUUGAGGACUGGAGAGGAGACUGGAAUUCAUGGUGUAGCAGUGAAAUGCGUAGAUAUCGAGAGGAACACCAGUGGCGAAGGCGAGUCUCUGGACAAAUCCUGACGCUGAGGCACGAAAGCUAGGGGAGCAAACAGG